GAUAGCCUACGGGACGCAGCAGUGGGGAAUAUUGCACAAUGGGGGAAACCCUGAUGCAGCGACGCCGCGUGAGUGAAGAGGUAUUUCGGUACGUAAAGCUCUAUCAGCAGGGAAGAAAGAAAGUCCUUUGGACGUUGGACGGUACCUGACCAAGAAGCCCCGGCUAACUACGUGCCAGCAGCCGCGGUAAUACGUAGGGGGCAAGCGUUAUCCGGAUUUACUGGGUGUAAAGGGAGCGUAGACGGCAGCGCAAGUCUGGAGUGAAAUGCCGGGGCCCAACCCCGGAACUGCUUUGGAAACUGUGC
This 305-nucleotide ribosomal RNA is filed under the name uncultured bacterium. RNAcentral's name for it is "bacterial SSU rRNA". It matches the Rfam family "Bacterial small subunit ribosomal RNA", at positions 333 to 638 of the family's 1533-position model. The record is from RNAcentral.